AAUUCCGUUAUUUAAUAUGAAAUAACAUGGAGAAACAGUUAUAGUUUAUUAACUGUGGAGUCUAAAAUGUUUUCUCCCCUCAGGGACAAUCUUCAUUACUUCCUGGACAAUGCUGGCCCUUUUCAGGUGACCAAGGGCAUUUAUCUGUCUCGCUGUCCCACCCAGUGUCCAUCACUAGCGUGACACUCGGCCACAUUACAAAGAGCCAGUCCCCAUCUGAAAGCAUCGCCAGUGCACCGAGGACAUUUUCAAUCUAUGGAAUGAGGACUGCUACUGAGGAAGGAAGAUAUUUGGGAACACUGGUCUAUGAUCAAGACGGAGCAGCAUUUCAGACCUUUAAGCUGCCUAAUCCAGACAGAGGAGUCUUCCGAUAUGUGAAGCUACAGAUUGACAGCAACUGGGGAAACACAGACUACACCUGCCUGUACAGCUUCAGGGUUCACGGUAAGAUAGGUGAAGGUGAAGGUAAAUCAAUCACAAAACGCCCGAAUUUUCCUGAAUUUAGCUGACCAAGUUAGGAUUCCAAAUAGGAAUUUUGCUUUGGAUCGUAUUGCUCACAAUGUACAAAACAAACAAUAUAUACACACUAUAAACAAUAUAGACAGGUUGAGACAAUAGUGCAAUGAAGAGUGCAAAUUAUGCAGGAGUAAAUUAUAAUUGUGAUAGUUAUUAUUUUAAUUAUGGAGAAUAGUGCAGACGGUGCUGGAAUAAAUAAUAUGAUGUUAUUAUAUAAGUGUUGUAUUACAAUAUGAACAGUGUAUUGUGAAGGAUUCAUAAACACAAAUCUACACGUUAUGUUCCCAGAUGUUUUGUAGUUAAUUUACCUUCCCUCCCAGGGCGGCAUGGUGGCUGUGUGAAUGCAGCCCCCCAUGUCUGCGUGGGUUUACUCCGGGUGCUCCGGUUUCCUCCCACACAUGCAGGUU
Etheostoma spectabile (orangethroat darter) is the source of this 923-nucleotide long non-coding RNA. RefSeq lists it as uncharacterized. The record is from RefSeq and is a predicted model, not a curated record. The transcript has 3 exons. NCBI's taxonomy places the organism in Eukaryota, Metazoa, Chordata, Actinopteri, Perciformes, Percidae.